AUUUAUGAAACAUUACAUAUUUAUUGUAAAAAAUGAGUUUUUCUGUGCAAAAAGCUACGAGCACUAGCGUAUGUAAACAUGUACAAUGUUUAUGUAGCCUUUUGCACAGAAAAUCGCCACUUUUACCAUAAAUACGUAAUAUUUCAUAAAUAUAAUGCUUAAACGCAUAACAGCAUUGAUCUCAAUCAUAUAAUCUAAAAAUGAGUGUUUGAAUUUGCAAAACAAUGCGAAAGGCCUCUAAAAAAACAACUUGAGCGAUUUAAAAAUCAAAUUGCGCUAUUGAAAAUAGCAUCGGUGCGGUGAAACAACAACGUUUGAAAGCUAAAGUGAAUCUUGAGCUUCUGAAAUUGUUUUGCUGACAUUCUAUUCUGACUUGUAAAAACCCUGUAUCUCUGCUGACCAAAACUACCCGCGUAAAUUUCGUUUUUCGGAUCGCAUUUGAGUUCGCGUGUCCUAACCGCCAUCGCUCUUGUUGCUGCAACGAAAACCUGCACCGCUCCCGUAGAAUGGCCCGAAUUUGCAACGCCUGCACUAUGGAAAUUGAAGAGGCAUCUAUCAGCUGCUGCCUGUGCGACUCUCCAUUUCACCAGCGCUGCACUUCGAUUCCUGUUGAUCUGUUCCUGCGCAUUGCGGAAUAUAAACAAUUACACUGGUGCUGUAUUCGCUGCAACAACGUAUUUAUGAAUCCGCGCACCAAGUUCGUAAAAGACGCAGCCAUGCAAUCUGGCUUCCAGACGGCAAUAACGGUCGCCGAAAGCAUCAAGCAAGACGUUAUGGAGCCAUUGACUAAUGAAAUUAAAACUGGGUUUGUACGGAUGUCAGCUCGAUCUAAAAACUCCACGAAGUAGCCACUCCCCCGCUAAAAUUCGUCGCAUAAAACGGUCAAAACGUUUGUUCUCGGAUGUCGCUACUGACAACCGUACGUUGUUUACAUUUGGCGCCAGACCCAUUAACACCCAAAACAAUAACAACCAGAACCAACAUAAUAAGCCGAUUGAUGAUAUGUAUCGCAAAAAUCGAGCUCCACCCACAGUUCGGUUUGAGCCUUCGAUGGGUAAGCACCGCUUCUUUUGUGCUCCCGAAUAAUCUAUUAUAAAACCGGUUUUCAUUUUGUCGCGCGCGUUUCUCUGCCUCUUCUUCGAUCAUGUCGGGGGAGGGGGGGGAAACACGCGAAGCGUGGAAGAAACAGUUGCAGUGAUAGUGGAUCGGACUCGGGCAUGUCGAAACGCUCCGUGCGGCGGAUAUGCCCAACUGCCGAUAACGAUGCAUUGGCACAAAGGCUGAAUAAUGAAAACAAUAGCAUCAACGAUACCAGCUCCUCCGACACCAUGGAACAGGAGGAAAUUUCCCAGGAAUUUACUAUAGUAAAUCGAAAGAAAGGCUCCGCUCGUCGUCGGUCUACUCGAAAAACAUCCGCUGGUCCGUCGGCUAACCCACCCGCAGCAUCUGCCACACCGCUGCCCAAGUAGCAACCGAAGCUUUUUUCUCCCAGUUUCAACCCCCUCAUGUCCACAAACUGCCUUCGCUUACUAUUCCUAUCCCGUUUCUACAUUCCACAACGUUUGUUGCGUUCUCGCUCAUCAGGAUGUUAGUCAAUUCUCUCUUGCCACACGAAGAGAAUUCUCCUGCACACUUCGUGUGUUGGAUUCUACCCAUCCCUGUUGAACACACGUCAUUUUCUUCCAUCGCACUCAUCAGGGUGUUUGCUCUUUUCCAUCCAAGCCAAAGAGCGACUUCAGUGUGCUCUGAACCGUGGAUGUGAGAGUGUGUGUUUGUGUGCUGCGUGAACUAUUUUUCCUGCGUGAAACACUUUCCAUACUGCACCAUCCGCGGUGUUCUUUCUGCUUCGGAGGACGAAUUUUUAUCAUCUAAUUGUUUGGUUUCAGAUGUGUGCUGCUACCGCUAGCUGUUCCUCAAACUACUUAAAAAGUGUGACACUGUGUGCACAGGCGUUCAAGUUUCAAUUGAUCCUCAAGCACAAAGCCUUCAUACAACACUGCGGUUGAGGCGCGCCAAAACUGAUGACAUCUUCUCCGGAACCAAGCAGGCUGAACACGCGCACCACCACGGGCUCCAGCGCGGUGUGAAGAGGGAAGAAGAAAAGACAGAAUUGGAAACAGCCGCACCAGGCUUCCAACCACCGUGUGUGUAUGUAAGUAUGUGAGAACACAUGUGUGAAUCCUCUUGUGGGAACUGCAAAAAGAAGAGAAUAAAGAGUGUGAAGCAGCUAGACUGCCGCAACCAAAUCAAGAGAGUGAAUUCUCAUUUCAAUCCGAAAAACUGGGAGAGACCCAAGUAGCAGAGCCGAAGUUUUGCAGAGAUUUUUCUGUGUGCCAAAGCGAGAUGCCCUGUCUUCUCUCUCUAGAUUUUGGAUAGCAAACCGCCGCGCGUGUAGAGGUGUGUGCGUGUGACGAAAAACGAUGGAUGAAAAACGCGAGAAGCGGGGUCCGAAGUCUUUCGUUGGUCACACACACAUGCAUCUACCAGCGGAUUGCGCUACACCGAGUCUACCCAUCUCUCUCAAUCUACCAUGAUUUUUUCUGCUAUCGCACUCAUACGGGUGUUAGGCAUCCUCAGUCUGUCCAGAACUUUUGUUGUGGAAGGAUGUGCGGGAGUGAUGUGCGAUUUCUUGUGUCCCCUACUUUCGUUGUUUACAUUUUGCGCAGUGUUGCUUCUUCUUCCAUUGUGGAAUGAUUUAUCUUAGCUAACUUGUUGAGUUACAGGUGCAUGCGCCAUUCAUCAACGCCUACCUGUUGGCAUCAUCAACAAUCUUCAAAGUGGGUGACGGAAAGAAAUUGUUUUCCAGUUUUAAAAUAUUAAGCGUUCAGCACAACUCAGCCACAAAACAACGCACUGGAUUGCGCUAAGAACCUGUCGAAACGCGCGCAGCCCCCGGGAGCGGUAGGAGAAAGGAAGAACGAGAGGAGGAAA
This is a long non-coding RNA of Anopheles coluzzii, 2931 nucleotides long. RefSeq lists it as uncharacterized. The transcript has 5 exons. The record is from RefSeq and is a predicted model, not a curated record. Lineage: Eukaryota; Metazoa; Arthropoda; Insecta; Diptera; Culicidae.